Molecule: ribosomal RNA, 320 nt
Filed under: uncultured eukaryote
Lineage: Eukaryota
Description: partial 18S ribosomal RNA
Rfam family: Eukaryotic small subunit ribosomal RNA
Source: RNAcentral
CCCUUAGAUGUCCUGGGCCGCACGCGCGCUACACUGACAUGUUCAACAAGCCUCCUAGUUCGACAGGAUUUGGGAAAUCUUUGAACGCAUGUCGUGAUAGGGAUAGAUCAUUGCAAUUAUUGAUCUUGAACGAGGAAUUCCUAGUAAACGCGAGUCAUCAGCUCGCAUUGAUUACGUCCCUGCCCUUUGUACACACCGCCCGUCGCUCCUACCGAUUGAAUGUUCCGGUGAGCUCUUCGGACUGCGCGGUCUGCAGUUUCUGCGUUCCGUGCGGAAAGUUGUGCAAACCUUAACAUUUAGAGGAAGGAGAAGUCGUAACA